CCUACGGGUGGCAGCAGUGGGGAAUAUUGCACAAUGGGGGCAACCCUGAUGCAGCAACGCCGCGUGGGUGAAGAAGGAUUUCGGUACGUAAAGCUCUGUUAGUAGGGAAGAAAAUGACGUUAACUGACUAUGAAGCCCCGGAUAACUACGUACCAGCAGCCGCGGUAAUACGUAGGGGGCACGCGUUAUCCGGAUUUACUGGGUGUAACGGGGGCGUAGACGGCAAGGCAAGUCUGUAGUGAAAGCCCGUGGCCCAACCACGGGGCUGCAUUGGAAACUGGGUUGCUGGAGUGCAGGAGAGGAAAGCGGAAUUCCUGGUGUAGCGGUGAAAUGCGUAGAUAUUAGGAGGAACACCAGUGGCGAAGGCGACUUACUGGACUGUAACUGACGUUGAGGCUCGAAGGCGUGGGGAGCAAACAGGAUUAGAUACCCGUGUAGUC
Molecule: ribosomal RNA, 440 nt
Filed under: uncultured bacterium
Lineage: Bacteria
Description: partial 16S ribosomal RNA
Rfam family: Bacterial small subunit ribosomal RNA
Source: RNAcentral